Molecule: ribosomal RNA, 491 nt
Filed under: uncultured bacterium
Lineage: Bacteria
Description: partial 16S ribosomal RNA
Rfam family: Bacterial small subunit ribosomal RNA
Source: RNAcentral
GAUGAACGCUGGCUACAGGCUUAACACAUGCAAGUCGAGGGGAAACGACGGGGUAGCUUGCUUCCCCGGGCGUCGACCGGCGCACGGGUGAGUAACGCGUAUCCAACCUGCCUCUGACUGAGGGAUAGCCCGUCGAAAGUCGGCCUAAUACCUCAUGGUAUCGUCUGCGGGCAUCCAACGACGAUUAAAGAUUUCAUCGGUCAGGGAUGGGGAUGCGUCUGAUUAGCUUGUUGGCGGGGUAACGGCCCACCAAGGCUACGAUCAGUAGGGGUUCUGAGAGGAAGGUCCCCCACAUUGGAACUGAGACACGGUCCAAACUCCUACGGGAGGCAGCAGUGAGGAAUAUUGGUCAAUGGGCGAGAGCCUGAACCAGCCAAGUAGCGUGCAGGAAGACGGCCCUAUGGGUUGUAAACUGCUUUUAUGCGGGGAUAAAGUGAGGGACGGGUCCCUCAUUGCAGGUACCGCAUGAAUAAGGACCGGCUAAUUCCGUG